UACAGAGGAGGCAAGCGUUGUUCGGAAUCACUGGGCUUAAAGCGCGUGUAGGCGGCUCGCCAAGUAUCUUGUGAAAUCCCCCGGCUCAACCGGGGAAUGGCUGGGUAUACUGUCGGGCUUGAGGUGGGUAGGGGUGCCUGGAACUCUAGGUGGAGCGGUGAAAUGCGUAGAUAUCUAGAGGAACGCCCGUGGCGAAAGCGGGGCACUGGGCCUUACCUGACGCUAAGACGCGAAAGCGUGGGGAGCAAACGGG
RNAcentral lists this ribosomal RNA (253 nucleotides) under uncultured bacterium. RNAcentral's name for it is "partial 16S ribosomal RNA". It matches the Rfam family "Bacterial small subunit ribosomal RNA", at positions 524 to 776 of the family's 1533-position model. The record is from RNAcentral.